CUCUGAAUCACGAAGUUGUCCGUAACCUUGAUUUAACGUGCACGACCGUAGUACCUCUGCACCUUGGUGGCUUUGCCAGUUUUGCUUUUCCUGUUCGAUCGCGCGUAAAGAACCAAAAAGCGUCACGUAAUUUGUUCUCGUUGCAUUCAUCGUGUCGUCGCGGCAGUCGUGGACGUUUGUGACGAGUUUCAGCGCGCUUCUAAUCUCGGCAAAAAGGAACUUGACUUGGAGGCGACCAUGGAGCCAAAUCCGUCCUGACGAAAGCAAGCUUGCGGUCGCUCCCAGACGUUCCCAUGGGGAGGCUGCGCGUCCCUCGACAAGGACUGGCGUCACCGAGCGGGCGGACGGGCGCGUGCAGUUGUUCUGAACGUCCGUAGAUGUUGGCGCACCUACCCCAGCGCAGGCUGCACAUGCUGUUCUUGUGCGUCGGAUUGGUGAUGAUCGUGGCACUGUCCAAGCUGGCAACAGACAGGCUGCACGAGCUGCAGAAGCACUACCGCAUGCAGGAUUAUAUGGCGCAGAUGAACCUCGCGAAAGACACAAUGCAAGUUCUCGAGGUGAGCGCGGCACGGCUCGAAAACCACACUGCACGGCUGAGGCGGCAAGUUGCAGAAGAGAAGAAACGGCGUCAGCUCAACGCCUCGGCCAAGGCGGAAGACGUGCAGCCUCACGGCACGUCGACGUGACAGCGGUGCCCGACGGUCAAGGACUCUUUCUGAUUAUUUUAGGAACGAUGCUGCAAGAUCAGCCCAACGAAGACUUACUCUUUUUGAAGCAUUGGUGGACGUACAUGGUGUAGGCAUCAAACGAUGAGAAGGUUGCAGGAAGUGCUCUGAGCAAGUUGUGUUUGUAUUGUUGAUGUUGAAUACGGACAUCAUCGUGGCAUGCGUAGAACCCCAUCGUGUGGUCACCGCAUGUCGUCGAGGGAAACGCGGUGAGACAAAGUGACGGAACGGCGCGGUGGCGACAGGCUGAAGGGGGGGCAUUGCCAGUGAUUACAUUUUUGGCGUUCGUGGAAAGAAAUUUAGUAGCUUGAUGUGCGUAGCGGUUGACGACUUGAGUCGAUGGGAACACUGGGUGUAUCGGAGUUACUUUAAUACAGGAGCUUAGAGCAGUUUGGUAGGCUCCCUAAUUUUGGUGAUGUUUUAUUUUUCAAGGAUCAGUUGUCCUAUCAGACUAAGUAAAUGGUCACAGAGCCCUCAUCCUAUUGUAUCAUUCUUCAACUAAAGACCUAACUUACUUUGUUUCUAAAGUAAUUGGCUCAUUUUACAGAGCUUUUGACACAUAACAUAACUUGGGUAUGCAUCAUCCUUAACUGCUAAACAGUGAUCUGCACAGUGUUUUUGCUGAUCAGGUCUCUGGUCUCAUUUCAGUUCAGUACCACCUACUCCCAUCUAUCAAACUCGUAAUUCAAUGAAGUACUUGCAGUCUUGCCAUUUCCCUUCCCCGAAAAGUUCUAGGUGGCGCCUAAACGGUGCCCCGGGAUGAGCUUGCUUCGAUGUAGCUAGGAUUUCAAAUUUUUCUAUUGCGGAAAUCAAGGUAUGGUGCGUCGAACUUGUUGUGGUCCAGUUACCGGACUUCUAGCCGGACGUGGCACGAUUUUCGUGACGCCUUCAGCACAGAAAGGGUUUUCGAGGGCACCAGCAUGUUUUGUUAGGCACCGUGCAAUGUUGACAAGAAAACGUGUGGUGCGUGUUGGAAAAGUUGUGAGUGGGAUGCAUCACGCCUAAGCUGCGUCGCCUAACUAGUGAGAGAGCUAUUUCUACCCAUUUUUCAUAGUCAUCUAACGUCGGGAAGAUGCGAAAGUAACGACAGCCUAGUGGGACACCCGGUUUGGUCCUGGGGUACUUGACUGUGUGGAAAGCAGGUGUGAUUACUCCGGCUGAAUGUGUCGCUUCACUUUGCGUAUCUGACAGUCUGCAAGCAGGUCUUGUGCAGUGAAGGUUUGUGUACCAUUCAAUGUCCAUUUGUACAGACGACAUACUGCUCCCAUUAACAUUGUGCAAGUACUAAGUACUUGUUCCUAGUGGUGAUAACAGGUGUCCUGCAGGGUACUAGUACUUAACCAAAUAAAGUCCGGUGUUGCUUUUUUUUUUUUUGUGUGUGUUUUGUCAUGUGCACGUGUGUGCUUCAAAGCAAUCCCGCAGGUUGGGACAUGGCCUAUUUUGCAGGCUGACAAUGUUAAACCAUUAACACAGCUUGACGAGACUGCUAAGGUUUGAAGUACUUUUGACGCAAGCAGGAGUGUUUGGUGCUCAACGCACAUCUGUAAUCAAAGCACUUAUAUGUGCUGGAGUAACAACUUGAAGUGUCCUUAUAUCAGUGUGCUUUAUCUUCAAGUACUUAAAGUGCUUCAGCCACUCACUGAGCUUGAAGUAAUGGUAGAUAUGUCGCUAGUGCUUUGGUUAUCGAUGUGCCUACAGCACUGAAAAGUUUGGCUAUAAGGCAUCGGGCACUUGUGAAGGCAAGUACUUGUCUAAAUGCUAGAUGGUACUUGGCAAGUACUUGUCUAAAGGCUAGAUGGUACUUGGUAGAAGUGCUUUUUGCACCUAGUACCUGUUAUGUUGAAAUGUGGAUACACCUUCCAGUGCAUAUAUAAGAGGCCAAAAGAUGCACGGUCAUUGUCAUACCUAGAAGCUUCUAACAACCCAAUUUUGAGGAGUGGUUCCUGAGGUCCAUGUAGUCAAGUUUUUGGUGCUGGUUCACACCAUCUUUUUGUUUGUUUGUUUAUAAGAGUUGUGUGUUUCCCGUUUGAAUGUUCAUGGGGUUCUAGCACUGGUUGCACGGUUGUGGAAAUAAAUUUAUGGUCAUUAUUACUAA
RNA transcript from Ixodes scapularis (black-legged tick), 2820 nucleotides. RefSeq lists it as uncharacterized. Lineage: Eukaryota; Metazoa; Arthropoda; Arachnida; Ixodida; Ixodidae. The transcript has 3 exons. The record is from RefSeq and is a predicted model, not a curated record.